RNAcentral lists this ribosomal RNA (527 nucleotides) under Debaryomyces hansenii. RNAcentral describes it as "eukaryotic LSU rRNA". It matches the Rfam family "Eukaryotic large subunit ribosomal RNA", at positions 81 to 612 of the family's 3401-position model. Lineage: Eukaryota; Fungi; Ascomycota; Pichiomycetes; Serinales; Debaryomycetaceae. The record is from RNAcentral.
UAGUAACGGCGAGUGAAGCGGCAAAAGCUCAAAUUUGAAAUCUGGCACCUUCGGUGUCCGAGUUGUAAUUUGAAGAAGGUAACUUUGGAGUUGGCUCUUGUCUAUGUUCCUUGGAACAGGACGUCACAGAGGGUGAGAAUCCCGUGCGAUGAGAUGCCCAAUUCUAUGUAAAGUGCUUUCGAAGAGUCGAGUUGUUUGGGAAUGCAGCUCUAAGUGGGUGGUAAAUUCCAUCUAAAGCUAAAUAUUGGCGAGAGACCGAUAGCGAACAAGUACAGUGAUGGAAAGAUGAAAAGAACUUUGAAAAGAGAGUGAAAAAGUACGUGAAAUUGUUGAAAGGGAAGGGCUUGAGAUCAGACUUGGUAUUUUGCGAUCCUUUCCUUCUUGGUUGGGUUCCUCGCAGCUUACUGGGCCAGCAUCGGUUUGGAUGGUAGGAUAAUGACUAAGGAAUGUGGCUCUACUUCGGUGGAGUGUUAUAGCCUUGGUUGAUACUGCCUGUCUAGACCGAGGACUGCGUCUUUUGACUAGGA